This 95-nucleotide transfer RNA is filed under the name Actinomycetota bacterium. RNAcentral's name for it is "tRNA-Sec". It matches the Rfam family "Selenocysteine transfer RNA". The record is from RNAcentral. Lineage: Bacteria; Bacillati; Actinomycetota.
GGAGGCGAACGAGCGCCUGGUGGGCUCCCUGGUCUUCAACACCAGUGGGGGUGCGAGAGUGCCCCGGCGGGUUCGAUUCCCGUCCGCCUCCGCCA